GACGAACGCUGGCGGCGUGCUUAACACAUGCCAGUCGAACGGAAAGGCCCUGCUUUUGUGGGGUGCUCGAGUGGCGAACGGGUGAGUAACACGUGAGUAACCUGCCCUUGACUUUGGGAUAACUUCAGGAAACUGGGGCUAAUACCGGAUAGGAGCUCCUGCUGCAUGGUGGGGGUUGGAAAGUUUCGGCGGUUGGGGAUGGACUCGCGGCUUAUCAGCUUGUUGGUGGGGUAGUGGCUUACCAAGGCUUUGACGGGUAGCCGGCCUGGGGGGGUGACCGGCCCCAUUGGGGCUGGGAUACGGCCCAGACCCCUACGGGGGGCAGCAGUGGGGAAUAUUGCACAAUGGGCGGAAGCCUUAUGCAGCAACGCCGCGUGCGGGAUUACGGCCUUCGGGUUGUAAACCGCUUUCGCCUGUGACGAAGCGUGAGUGACGGUAAUGGGUAAAGAAGCACCGGCUAACUACGUG
This 468-nucleotide ribosomal RNA is filed under the name uncultured bacterium. RNAcentral describes it as "partial 16S ribosomal RNA". It matches the Rfam family "Bacterial small subunit ribosomal RNA", at positions 28 to 507 of the family's 1533-position model. The record is from RNAcentral.